This 446-nucleotide ribosomal RNA is filed under the name uncultured bacterium. RNAcentral describes it as "partial 16S ribosomal RNA". It matches the Rfam family "Bacterial small subunit ribosomal RNA", at positions 338 to 795 of the family's 1533-position model. The record is from RNAcentral.
CCUACGGGGGGCAGCAGUCGAGGAUCAUUCACAAUGGGGGAAACCCUGAUGGUGCGACGCCGCGUGGGGGAAUGAAGGUCUUCGGAUUGUAAACCCCUGUCAUGUGGGAGCAAAUUAAAAAGAUAGUAAAACAAGAGGAAGAGACGGCUAAAUCUGUGCCAGCAGCCGCGGUAAUACAGAGGUCUCAAGCGGUGUUCGGAAUAACUGGGGGUAAAGCGUGCGGAGGCUGUUUCGUAAGACGUGUGUGAAAGGCGCGGGCUCAACCCGCGGACGGAAUAUGAUAGUGCGUGACUAGAGUAAUGGAGGGGGAACCGGAAUUCUCGGUGUAGCAGGGAAAUGCGUAGAUAUCGAGAGGAACACUCGUGGCGAAGGCGGGUGCCUGGACAUUAACUGACGCUGAGGCACGAAGGCCAGGGGAGCGAAAGGGAUUAGAUACCCGGGUAGUC